CAGCCGCCACGGUAAUACAGAGGGUGCAAGCGUUAAUCGGAAUUACUGGGCGUAAAGCGCGCGUAGGUGGUUUGUUAAGUUGGAUGUGAAAGCCCCGGGCUCAACCUGGGAACUGCAUCCAAAACUGGCAAGCUAGAGUACGGUAGAGGGUGGUGGAAUUUCCUGUGUAGCGGUGAAAUGCGUAGAUAUAGGAAGGAACACCAGUGGCGAAGGCGACCACCUGGACUGAUACUGACACUGAGGUGCGAAAGCGUGGGGAGCAAACAGGAUUAGAUACCCGCGUAGUCCCUGUCUCUUAUAA
This 301-nucleotide ribosomal RNA is filed under the name uncultured bacterium. RNAcentral describes it as "partial 16S ribosomal RNA". It matches the Rfam family "Bacterial small subunit ribosomal RNA", at positions 509 to 809 of the family's 1533-position model. The record is from RNAcentral.